Molecule: long non-coding RNA, 3258 nt
Filed under: Sus scrofa (pig)
Lineage: Eukaryota; Metazoa; Chordata; Mammalia; Artiodactyla; Suidae
Description: lncRNA (ENSSSCG00025074982.1)
Source: RNAcentral
GCGCAGGACUCCACGAUGUCUCCCUGGGAAAUUAGGGCUUUCAGUUCGUUGUUAUUGACUACCGUGGGGAUUUGUUUUCUGCCCUGCUACGUAAAUGUCUUUGUGGGGUCAUUGCCGCCGUGCUUCAGGGAAGGUUUGCACUUCACAGAGGUGGCCCUUUCUUCAGCAUCCAUCACGGUCGUCUGCAAAUGUCAGCAGCUUUGAGUCGGAACUGCUCCAGCCCAGCUCGCCCUCGUGGGCAACCUCAUCAUCUCCCCAACACCAGCCCCCAUCACCAUAGAAUACCUGCUUAGGUGGCCUAGUGUUGCUCCACCACCCUCUUCUCGGCACUAAGCAUUGCUGUUGGGGGUAAAGAUUAGGGGAAAGACUUUGGGCCACACUUUUUUUUUCUUAUUCUAGCCGAAAGCCAGAAUGCACAAAAGGAAGAGGCCAAAGAGAUCCAUGGUGGUUGAGGUGAGAAGAUGCUUGGCUUCUGGACACAAGGAGGAGUGAGGGGAGUAGACACCCUACCAUUCUCUUACUCGUGAGGGACACCUGCAUAGGCUGCUAUAGCCACCGUGGCCGAGAAAAAAACUAGCUCUCCCAAGACGCCCCACCCUAAUCUCUGGAACCUGUGAAUGUGUUAGGUUACAUGGCAAACAGGAUUUAAGGGUGCAGAUGGCAUGAAGGUUGUCAAUCAGAUGACCCCGAAAUAGAGGGAUUAGCCUGGAUUACCUGAGAGGCCGAUGUAAUCACAGGGUCGGUCCUUAAAGGGGGAAGAGGGGAUUGCAAGAGAUGCCAGAGAGACAGCAGCCUGAGGACUCAGAUCAAUGUUGCUGCCUUUGAAGGAGGAGAAGGCGGCCAUGAGGCAGGACAGGCAGGCAGCUUCUAGAAGCUUGAAAAGGCUAGAAAAGGGAUCUCUCUUAGACCUUCUAUACAGGCAACGCACCCUGCCAGCACCUUGUUCUGACCCUGGUGACUUCCGUGUCAGACAUGUGAUCUACAGAACUGUAAGCUGUUAAAUUUGGGGUUUUUUAAACAAAACAAAACUAAAUAUAAAAUUGGCAACAAUUUGUUGCAGCCGCAACAGGGAACUAAUACAAUCUAUAAACCUUAAAUACUCUCAAUUUGUGAACCUUUUGUCAACCAGAAGAAAAUGUCACAUUUGAGAGUUUUCAUAUCAUGUUUUAGAUUUAAAACACUAUCCAGAACUGCACACCUGCUCUGUUUUCCUAGAAAAACCACUUUCUCAUGGCCUACAAAAUUUGCCAUGAUUUUCUUAAGGUGUAUAUGAAGUUAAGCUCUGGUCAACUGGUCAGUUUGGUCUUGCUCUGAAAACUUUCAAAAAAGCAAUUUUGUGUUUGAACCAACUUUGUUAAAUUGGUGAAAGGUGGCCAUGGUUGCUAAGAGAAGCUGCCAGGGUGUUUCCAUGGGAACAGUUGUUUUUAAAUCAGGAAUAACAAGCUCUCUCUGUAAAGAGCUGAAAUAGGGAAGGCAGGGGAGGAGGCUACUUCUUACUUCUUCCUCAUAAAGAGGAAACAGCCAGAGGUUUCCUGCCAGUUCCUGAAGUUCAGCAGACAUUGCCCUGACACUUUGUGAAGGGCAAUAGUAAAUGCAUGGGUUUCAGGUUCAAACAGAUCUGGGUGUGAAUUCCUGAUUCACCAGAGCCACCUGCAAGACCUAGAGUAAGACGCAGAACUACCCUGGGAUGCUGUUGUGUUAGUCAGGAAACGGGGAUUAUGAGAGUAGGACUCACCUCCUGGGAUGGGUGUGGUUCCAUGAGAAAACACACGCAAUGUGUCAUGGACAGUCCCCGGGAAGUAGUAAGAUCUCAAUCCCUGAUGGUGCUGUCAUACUCGGACAAGAGACUGGUUGCAAAGCUCCAUAUUGUGUUUCCAAACCAACUCAGAGAAAGACGUUUUAGAGAUUUCCAAGGCAUCCGGUGCUGAGAGGCGGUUCUCUGGUUUAUGACUGGUAGGAGCUCAGCCCACAUGUCAGUCAGCUUGAGGCAGCCACACUAGUCUGUACUCCCCACAAGGAGCAAGUCCAGUGCUCCAGUGCUUGGCCGUCCUGGUGACACCAUCAAAACUUUGGCUCUCUUGGUGGACUGAGUGGACUGGCCCUGAUUGAGGCACCUGCUUUGAGGUGCACUUCUCUAGGUGGCAGCAACUGUUUAUUUUCUCUGAUUUCACUGGAGAAUGACUGGUGAGAAGGGGCAGAAGGUAAUGGGAGGGGGGCCAGCCCAGGCCGUAAGCAAGCACAGGGACUUUGAUGACUGACCGACCGGUUUGCAGAAGCUUCCACAACCAUAAAGGGAAAAGGCUCAACUGUGUGCAAGGGGCCACGUCUAGGAUGGGGAGCUGGGAAAGUAUCUAAAUACUGAGUUGAACUGGGAGGACCAGACAGGAAAGAAACUAGAGGUUGACCAGUUAUCAGCAGAAGGGCCAUGAGAGGAUGGGGUACAAAUGAUAGACAGGGGGGACCUGGGGCAGCUCUGCCCUGGGGGAUGUGUGUUCCUGGCCUGGCAAGCCCGAGGGGUGAUGGUGAGCUGUCUGUGAGACCAGGCCAGUCAGCUCAGGCCAUCAGAAGAACUCCCCUUGCCGCCAGCAGAGCUGGCCUUCAGGUAAGAUCUCCGUGAGAAACGUUCAUCUGGGCCCAGCGUCAGGCAGCGUCAGACCUUCUUAACUGGUGUCUUCCUGUCUGAGGUCAGAACUGGGGACUUGCUCGGGCGGCCCUUUUUGCCACGGGCUGCUGGAAACCUUAGGGCCACAUAUGUCCUCCAUGUGGCACAUGUGUGAAGUCUCGGGGGCACACGUGUCGGAUUGAGAUUCGGUUCUGCAUUCAUCUUAUGUCCCCACUCUGGUUUGUCUUUCUGACUUAACACUUAAACAUUGAUGACUCGUGCUCCUGAAAUAGAAAAGUAUGCGUUUAAAUUUAACUUGUCUUCAUUUUACAAAUAAUUUUUUUGUCAUUACAAAAUGGUAUAAUCUAUGGUGCGCUGAAAUUUAUGAUCCAAUCUACCUGUAUCUGUGAGGAGUUCCCGUCGUGGCGCAGUGGCUAAUGAAUCUGACUAGGAUUGCAAGUCCUAGGUUGCAGGUUCGAUCCCUGGCCUUGCUCAGUGGGUUGAGGAUCCAGCGUUGCCGUGAGCUGUGGUGUAGGUUGCAAACGCAGCUCGGAUCCCACGUUGCUGUGGCUGUGUCUCAGGCCGGUAGCUAUAGCUCUGAUUAGACCCCUAGCCUGGGAACCUCCAUAUGCUGAGGGAGCGGCCCUAGAAAAGGC